RNAcentral lists this ribosomal RNA (253 nucleotides) under uncultured bacterium. RNAcentral's name for it is "partial 16S ribosomal RNA". It matches the Rfam family "Bacterial small subunit ribosomal RNA", at positions 524 to 776 of the family's 1533-position model. The record is from RNAcentral.
UACGAAGGGGGCUAGCGUUGCUCGGAAUCACUGGGCUUAAAGGGCGCGUAGGCGGGCCUCCCAGUCCGGGGUGAAAGCUUUCGGCUUAACCGGAAAAGUGCCUUGGAUACUGGAGGCCUGGAGGGAGGUAGGGGCAGCCGGAACUUCCGGUGGAGCGGUGAAAUGCGUUGAUAUCGGAAGGAACGCCGGUGGCGAAAGCGGGCUGCUGGACCUCUACUGACGCUGAGGCGCGAAGGCGUGGGGAGCGAACAGG